GAUUUUUCUUCCUUCUCUUCUUCCCUCUAUAAAUUAAAUUGGCUUUGCUUCUGCUGAGCCACAGGCUGUUUCUGGGUUCUGCAGAUUGUCCUUCUUUGACUGUCCUUGUAUAGUCUGGGAUUCUACUCAUCAAUGGAUGACAUUUUCACCCGUCUAUUGACACUGGCUAGUUAUAUAAGGCGUCGAUUUAUUCAAUUUAUAGGUUGACACUACCAUUACACGGUUUACAAUUUGCUUGGAGAUUGGCAAUUUCGUGUUGGAGAAGUUCUGUCGUGUACGUUAGAUGUGCUCAUCUUCGAAUUUGUAGCCUGGCAUCUCGAGUACAGAAAACAUUGCAAGGUUCAUCUGACAAUAUUGGAUGGUUGCCGCGCACUCCUGGCAUGCCUGGUGUGGA
Molecule: non-coding RNA, 394 nt
Organism: Prunus mume (Japanese apricot)
Lineage: Eukaryota; Viridiplantae; Streptophyta; Magnoliopsida; Rosales; Rosaceae
Source: RefSeq, a predicted model, not a curated record